UCCGGUUUGGCACCGGCAGUCCUCCCAGAGUCCUCAGCUUGACCUGGUAGCAACUGGGAGCGGGGGUUGCGCUCGUUGCGGGACUUAACCCAACAUCUCACGACACGAGCUGACGACAGCCAUGCAGCACCUUGCUUCAGGUCUGGCUUUUACACCAGGAGAGUAGGUUUUGCCCACUCGUCCUUCGCAUUCUAGCCCAGGUAAGGUUCUUCGCGUUGCGUCGAAUUAAACCACAUGCUCCACCGCUUGUGCGGGUCCCCGUCAAUUCCUUUGAGUUUUAAUCUUGCGACCGUACUCCCCAGGCGGGAUGCUUAAAGCGUUAGCUGCGCCACUGACGGGUAAACCCGCCAACGGCUAGCAUCCAUCGUUUACGGCGUGGACUAC
This 384-nucleotide unclassified non-coding RNA is filed under the name uncultured bacterium. RNAcentral describes it as "contains 16S-23S intergenic spacer region". The record is from RNAcentral.